UGACCAAGGGGUCGGGACGUUCUGCCUGUUUCAGGGGCGGAGUGACCUACGGGUACAGGGAGUACCUGCGCAAGGGCCGGGUCAGGAAAAGC
Molecule: non-coding RNA, 92 nt
Filed under: Pseudomonas jessenii
Lineage: Bacteria; Pseudomonadati; Pseudomonadota; Gammaproteobacteria; Pseudomonadales; Pseudomonadaceae
Also listed under: 1 other name
Description: ivy-DE
Rfam family: ivy-DE RNA
Source: RNAcentral